Lupinus angustifolius (narrow-leaved blue lupine) is the source of this 435-nucleotide ribosomal RNA. It matches the Rfam family "Eukaryotic large subunit ribosomal RNA", at positions 24 to 664 of the family's 3401-position model. Lineage: Eukaryota; Viridiplantae; Streptophyta; Magnoliopsida; Fabales; Fabaceae. The record is from Rfam.
CUCUGCUUAAUAUUAAAACUCAUUCACUUAGAAGUCGUGAUGGAACCUUUUCACACCAUAAGGUGCUAUUGGUGAGUUGAGUUGUUUGGGAAUGCAGCCCUAAUUAGGCACUAAAUUCCUUCCAAGGCAAAAUACUGACAAGAAACCAAUAGCAAACAAGUACCACAAGGGAAAGAUGUAAAAGACUUUGAAAAAAGAGUCAAAGAGUAUUUAAAAUUGUCGGGUGUGAAGUAGAUAGGGUCGGCGAUGUGCCUCAGUUGGACGUGGAGCAGCCAGAACUGAUCCGCCAAUCAACCAUGAUUUCUGAGGGUUUAAAAUAAAUAAGUUGACUGCUCAGAAAUGGUGUUGGACAAAUUGAAGAAACAGUUUUACUGGUUACUCCACGAAUGUUUCAAAAGACAAGAAAAAAGUGGUUGACCGUUUAUCUGUAAAAAU